AACUUACCACGCAAUACCAAUAUCUCUUUGUAUAUUCACAGGUAAAUAAAAUGACAUUUAAGUAAGUGAUUUAACUUAUCAUAACUAAUAACCAAGUAAUCAGAUAACCAGAUAAAUUAUGCAGGAAGGGACCAAUUAACUCAGAUAAUCAAGAAGACUAUAAAAACUACCAAUGUAGUAUGCACAAUGUAAUAAUAAGUAAUUUAGGCAGUACAUUAAAAUAAAUUGGGAAUCAGAACAAAUGUGAAUU
This 250-nucleotide long non-coding RNA is filed under the name Carica papaya (papaya). RNAcentral describes it as "long non-coding RNA (CPAP_LNC005689)". The record is from RNAcentral. Lineage: Eukaryota; Viridiplantae; Streptophyta; Magnoliopsida; Brassicales; Caricaceae.